Molecule: long non-coding RNA, 1623 nt
Organism: Dama dama (fallow deer)
Lineage: Eukaryota; Metazoa; Chordata; Mammalia; Artiodactyla; Cervidae
Exons: 5
Source: RefSeq, a predicted model, not a curated record
UCUUCUGGAGGGCGCGGAAGCCGGAGGUCUCGGGCCACCGUCCGGCCCAGGCGGGACCCCGUAGUGCCGGGGUCUGUCCUCGACUUCGACCCUGGGUGCGGUGUCCCCAGUUCGGGUCUUCCCUCGGGCGCGGGUGGAGCAGAGCUGCAUCUUCACCGUCCUCUGCACUCUUCCAAGACCCACCGGAAACGAACACAUCUGAGGGGAGCUCUUGAUUCAUUCCCCCAACUUGUGAUUGGUGAGCAGUGUGCCUUCACAGACAUCAAUGCCAUUCAAGGACAUGAGUGUGGCGUUUACCCAGGAGGAGUGGCAGCAUGUGAACCCUGCUCAGAGGACCCUGUACAGAGCUGUGAUGCUGGAGAACCAUAGCCACCUUGUCUCACUGGGAAGAAGAUUCCUCACACCCAGUGGAACCACCCUUCUGUCAGAUAGAGAAGGCUCUCUGCCUCCAGGGUUCUGCCAAACCGUCCACAAGAGCAGUCAGUCAGUCAUUUCCUCCCAAGCAUGGCUUUCAAUAAACUAACAAAACAAAACAAAAACAGAAAAACACAAAAAGCAACAAACUGAUGCUGUUGUCUCCUAGAUUAUAUCAGUAUUACCAUGGGAGUGCUGCAGGUAUGGAAGUCAGAAGCUGGAAGAAAUUAUUUGAGGAGCUUUAAUAUCUAUGGUUUUUCCAGUGGUCAUGUAUGGAUGUGAGUUGGACUGUGAAGAAAGUUGAGGGCCGAAAAAUUGAUGCUUUUGAACUGUGGUGUUGGAGAAGACUCUUGAGAGUCCCUUGGACUGCAAGGACAUCCAACCAGUCCAUUGUAAAGGAGAUCAGGCCUGGGUGUUCAUUGGAAGGACUGAUGCUGAAGCUGAAACUCCAAUACUUUGGCCACCUGAUGUGAAGAGUUGACUCAUUGGAAAAGACCCUGAUGCUGGGAGGGAUUGGGGGCAGGAGGAGAAGGGGACAACAGAGGAUGAGAUGGCUGGAUGGCAUCACCAACUCAAUGGACAUGAGUUUGAGUAAACUUCGGGAAUUGGUGAUGGACAGGGAGGCCUGACAUGCUGUGAUUCAUGGGGUUGCAAAGAGUUGGACACGACUGAGCGACUGAACUGAACUGAAGACCUAAACAGUUACUGCAAUACUAUUGAGAUUUAAUUGUAUUAUGUAGCUGGAAUGGGCCCUUAACACACAAGGACCCAACUGCACACUUGAGGAGUACAUUACAGAGCUUAUAUGCAGAGUACAUCAUGCGAAAUGCUGGGCUGGAUGAAGCACAAGCUGGAAUCAGGAUUGCCGGAAGAAAUAUCAAUAACCUAAAAUAUGCAGAUGGCACCACCCUUAUGGAAGAAAGCGAAGAGAAACUAAAGAGCCUCCUGAUGAAAGUGAAAGAGAAGAGUGAAAAAGCAGGGUUAAAACUCAACAUUAAGAAAACUAAGAUCAUGGCAUCCAGUCCCAUUACUUCAUAGUAAGUAGAUGGGGAAACAAUGGAAACAGUGAGAGACUUUAUUUUUGGGGGCUCCAAAAUCACUGCAGAUGGUGACUGCAGCCAUGAAAUUAAAAGACGCUUACUCCAUGGGAGGGAAGUUAUGACCAACCUAGACAGUAUAUUAAAAAGCAGAGACUUACUUUGCCAACAA